UUUCAGCUUGCUGUACAGACUGUUGCCGCGCUGGCUGGCUAGGUCGCUCUUUGCAGGUACCGUCUUACAGCCAUCAUGUCUGUGUAAAGAAAGCAAGAGUGCCUAAGGAGGUGACCUGGACUGUGAACAUCCACCCUGACCAGCCUGGAAGCCAACAGUUAAUCAUACAGCAGAAUCCAGAGAAAUUCAACAAGGGCCAUUAGGAGUGAAAGCAUGCAAACUAGAAGCUGAGGAGUGCUAUGUUGUGAAAUACUGUCAACUGGACAUGCUAUGGCUAUGACACUCACGAACUGUGGAUAUCUACAGCUACAUCAAUACAGUGAUAAAAAUUGCAACAUUGAUAGAGGAGAUGGUGUCAAGGCUCCACCCAUUACUGAGGAGGUUUUGGCAGCUGAUAGCUGAUUUGAAAGAACUCCUUGGAGAUGACGGCUCCAUCUAGGACUUGCCUAGGAAAAGAAGCAAUGAGGGCAGAUCACUGUGUAACGCUAGAUAGCCUUCAUCCAGUAGCUGUUCGAAGCAAAAACAGGCACCCACAGGCUCAGAGAUCUAUACAGAAGAGGAGACAGAAAGAUUGUAAUAGCCAGAGGUUGUGGAUAUCUCCAAGGAAACAACAUAUUCCAGGUAUACCAGUGCUGAAACCUACAUGGACUCAAAGAGACAGCAACAGCCUGCAAAGGUUUAUAACCAGACAAGAUCCCAGUGUGGAGAAGGGAAAUUAGACCCAAAAUACCACCCUUAACCAAGAAGCCAUUUGCAAUUGAUACUUUCUUGGAAAGGGAAAACAUAUUUUCAUUGUGGAGUAUCAUUGGAUAUAUUAACCAGACUCCAGGGCAGGUCCCAUGCACAGGAGUAGUUUGUCAACACAAAUAUACUCCAUGUUUAUUUGUUUUGUUUUCCAUGUAUGUUCAUGAUGUGCUUAUUUUUCUUUGUUCUGUUUUGAUAUUCUUUUACUUGUUGAAAAGAUUUGUUGCUCAGAUUUCUCCUUUGUUUUUGAGGAAUGUAUUUUGACAGAAAGAUGAAAUUGGAUGGGUAUGGAAGUAGGAAGGA
This is a non-coding RNA of Cricetulus griseus (Chinese hamster), 1047 nucleotides long. NCBI's taxonomy places the organism in Eukaryota, Metazoa, Chordata, Mammalia, Rodentia, Cricetidae. The record is from RefSeq and is a predicted model, not a curated record.